This 468-nucleotide ribosomal RNA is filed under the name uncultured bacterium. RNAcentral describes it as "partial 16S ribosomal RNA". It matches the Rfam family "Bacterial small subunit ribosomal RNA", at positions 28 to 507 of the family's 1533-position model. The record is from RNAcentral.
GACGAACGCUGGCGGCGUGCUUAACACAUGCAAGUCGAACGGAAAGGCCCUGCUUUUGUGGGGUGCUCGAGUGGCGAACGGGUGAGUAACACGUGAGUAACCUGCCCUUGACUUUGGGAUAACUUCAGGAAACUGGGGCUAAUACCGGAUAGGAGCUCCUGCUGCAUGGUGGGGGUUGGAAAGUUUCGGCGGUUGGGGAUGGACUCGCGGCUUAUCAGCUUGUUGGUGGGGUAGUGGCUUACCAAGGCUUUGACGGGUAGCCGGCCUGAGAGGGUGACCGGCCACAUUGGGACUGAGAUACGGCCCAGGCUCCUACGGGAGGCAGCAGUGGGGAAUAUUGCACAAUGGGCGGAAGCCUGAUGCAGCAACGCCGCGUGCGGGAUGACGGCCUUCGGGUUGUAAACCGCUUUCGCCUGUGACGAAGCGUAAGUGACGGUAAUGGGUAAAGAAGCACCGGCUAACUACGUG